This 154-nucleotide microRNA precursor is filed under the name Amborella trichopoda. RNAcentral's name for it is "MIR8565 microRNA precursor family". It matches the Rfam family "MIR8565 microRNA precursor family". Lineage: Eukaryota; Viridiplantae; Streptophyta; Magnoliopsida; Amborellales; Amborellaceae. The record is from Rfam by way of RNAcentral.
UCCACACCCAUGUGUGUAGGAUCCUAAAGGAUCACCAUUUAAUUUGGCAGAGAUCUCUAGAAAAAGUAUCACAUGGGUAUGGGAUUUGACUUUUCUAGAGAUCUAUGCCAAAUUUAAUGGUGAUCUUUUGGGGUCCUACACACAUGGGUGUGGG